GUUCUCCUUUGUCGCGCGGUGCUCGCCGUGCGCUCGCGAUUUCCGUGUUGCUUGUCGCAAUUCGAGCGAUCGCACGACCCUCAGGAACGGCUCGCGACGGACGUCCGUUUCGUUUCAAAGAGGCGAACCGUAGCUCCAUUCUGAGGAAAUUGGAUGGAACGAGGGGUCGAAGUGAUCACGAUAACAAAUUUCCAACAAGGGAAGGAAGGGGAGGAAAUACGUAACGAUGCGAGGCCAGAGAUUGCAGUUUACGAGCUGCCGAGUGAAAGCAUAACUCGGGGAAAAUUUGCUGGCCAACCGGGUCCUUCGACAGGACUAUACUUUGGCCCUGUACUUUCCUGCGACGGCUCAAUCGAAUUAUGAACGCCUCUGGUCUGAUUACAGGGAUAUUACUGGAAGGAACAUAACAUUUGUGAUAGCAAUGCCUGAGUAACUUCUUAAACAAGUCGAUUUUAGGUUUAGGGGGGUAGUGUUUUAUUUUUUAUCAGUUUCGGGGCAAGCUUCGUUACUUCGCGAUCAGGCUAACUGGACGACCCGUGAUAUGAAUGGUUAUAGCUUUGGGAAGACGAGAAUAUAAAAGAAAAGAGCAUCUAUUUAAUAACUAUAUUCCUCGCGGGCGUCGAAAUGGUUGAACACUUCACUUCUGGAGAUUUAUAAUCGACAGACCCUUUUCAUAGUGCAAUUUUUCCUCAAAACGUUGCCUGCCAUGCCUGUUCCUCGACAGACGUUCACAUUAUAGUACAAAGAAUAGAGACGUCAGAUCAUGCCUCGGCGUGCUUGUUAUUUUACAGGUUUCCUGUCGGCAUUGUCUGGAAUCGCGCGAGUAUCGGUGAUUGUUGUAAACUCGCGUGGCAGUCGACGCGUCGAGGACAAUUGUUCCGAGUAUAAAGCACGCGUCUCGCGCGAGCCCUUCUUUCGACGCAGCCACGACAAUAACGCGGCUAAGUCGGCUGCUUAACACCUAGCUUUGGCUUUAAUAAAGCGUCCCAGCGAUCGCCUUUGAGCUCGCGAGGGGGGUGCGGUCACGGAAGCGGCGAGCAUUUUCCGACGCUUUCCACAUUAUACCGUCUGAAGGAAGAGAAAAAAGUGCCGAGCAAUGCGUUAGGAAAAAUGGAGGGCGGCCGAGGGGUGCGGAAGGUGGCCGAAAGGAUGGCGAAUUCAGAGCCACGCUGGCGGGAUCCAUUGUUAUACAGCGUCGAGUUUUCUCUUCUUUUCCAUUGUUUUCGUUCGGUGCGCACCACCCCCAUGCUUUUUCCACGCCUUCGUCCCUUCCGUCGCGGUUUUUAUGUAUCUGGCUUAAUAAAACGUUCAGCUCUAUUUCGUCGUUACAUCCUGCAACUACCACCCUCUCGAUCCUCUCCUUCUCGUCCCUCUCAAUGUCAUUAAACACAUUUAAAGAGGGGCUGAGGACGCUAAAAACAUUUCGAUUUAUUAUAGGGUAACGUUCUCGUUUAAUGCAAUAUUAGUUACAGUGGCAAUCCUUUCCAGUGCUUUUUCAAAGGAAUUUUCUCUCGAUAAACAAGAUAUGAAUUACCUCUUUAACAACCUUAGGUUUAUACAGUAUGAAAUAUCACUAAUAACAGUGCUUUUCAUUCAACAACUACAAAAAUUGAUUCUGAAAGUCACAGAAAAUGAAUUUAAAUGAAAUACUUAAACUUUGAUGAAGAUACAAAACUAAAUACCUCAAUAAAUGUUUCAUCACGCAGUUUCAAAUAGUCUGUAAUCAAAAUUUAAUCACAGUAGAAAUUUUCAAGAGUCUGGCAGUGAACGCGUUAAUGCAUGCAAUUUUGUUGCAAUAUUUAUUGUAUUUACUUCUUCAUAAAAGUGUCCCUAAACUUUCAGACAGCGCAAUAUGUCCAACUCUAGUUUAGAGUUCCUCGUACAACUACAUAAAACCCCGAACAAAGUCAAACAUGGCAUUCAUGUCUAAAUGCAGUCUACGUCACCGGGAAGAACAGUUUUAUUAAAUGUUUUUCACGUUGUUCGUCGCGCCACCGUCGAAAAAAAGUAAUAGAAACAUUCCAUAGCAAUUCUCGAGCCGGAAAAGUUGCAUGAUCCGACGUAGAAUAACUCAUCUUCAAGCUCUCCGGUAUUAACCGUCUGGCGUGACCCAUAAAAAGGGAGACUACCACACCAAGACGCUCAAGCCGAGGACAAGAGUCCACAGCCUAAAAGAGGGAUGGUUAAUGAAACUUUAAUUCGACUGCCUGGCCUCGUUUAAUCGUUGCGUUUUUCAUUUCCUGCUUUCGGCAAGGACAGACAAAGAGCAAACAAAGAAAAAGACAAUGGGGGCUAGGGAUACGAAGGAAAAAAAAACAGUGGCGUGCUUCGUCGGGGAAAAAGAAGUUACGAUCACUUUUAAUAUUCUGGAGUAACUUCGAAUGAUGAUGGUGGCACUUUAAUCGUCACGGGGGAGAUUUAUGAGGCGGUAUAAUUAAAUUCAGGUUUCUAAAUAGGUUUCUGUUAGAUUCUGUUAAUAUUGUUCACUUAUGAGGAUUUUUCAAUUGAGAAUUUGUUUGGAAAAGAAAAUGAACCGCAGUUUCAAAUAGUUUAAACUAGUUAGAAGCGAAAAUACUGUACCUCGAUCAAAGUUUGGAAAUACAAACGCAAGUAGAUGCAGGGAGUAUUGGUCAGACAUCGCCUCGAAGUCGUACUCAAGCGAUUAAUCAGUUCAAGUAACAAAAUGCGCAUGUAAAUCUUUCGUCAGCACCUCCAAAUCAGUUUGUACGAUCAAUGUCACGUGCACUCCGUGAACAAUUAUCUUCAGCUCUGAAAUUUGCCUCAGCCCACUAAUAGAAUUAAUUCAACGCGCAAGGUACGCGUGCAAGAAUUCGCGAACGUCGACUCGAACGCGACGCCAACGUACAAAGACCACGACAGUGAUCCCUCUCGCAUUGUACUCGUGUACAUCCGUCCGAUUAUUGCCUUUGUGGCAGGCUCGGUGGCAAUUUCACGGACUAAAAAUUUAAAUAAUAAGGACCCGUCGGUGCAUCGGCGAAACGGAAAUAGGGCGACCAGCGGCGGCGUGGUUUCGCUGCAUCCUGAGAAACGACGACGCGGCAAAAGGAGGCAAAGAACACCGAAGGGAAUUAGAGCGUGGUCCGAAAAAGAUGAAAUGAAGACGAAAAAAGGAAGGAUCCGAGCCGUGGCUCGAUGAAAGUGCCCAAAGAGCGCAACACGACCGGAGGAAACGAGAAAAGAACGGUUCGGCGAUAAGCGGGGACCUCGUGGAACUAGAAAAUAGAGAAAACAUCAAUUUAAAGAGGAAUUAAAAAAUUAAAACUUCCUCACCCUCUGUGUCGUAAUAGGAGAAGUUGAGUGUUCCUCGAAAGCCUUGCCACUCUUAAAUGUUCCUGGAGAUUUAUUAAGUCUUGAAAAAUUCUGAAUCUCUUCGCAUUCUUCGGGAGGAACUUAGCUCGAAUAAAUUAGAGAGUGUAGUAGAUUAGAGUUAAAUCAUUUUUCUAUGCUUUUUGUAGUACUGCAUGAAAUAUCCAAUGUGUUGACUUUCUUAUCAAAAAAGUGAUUUAAAAGUAUCGAGUCCAUUAUAUCGUAUAGAGUGUCAUGGAAAUAUGUCGAAAAAUACUUUCUUGUAUUGAUGGAUCGGCUAGGUUAUACUAUCCUUCAAAAUAGGACACCUUACAAGAAAAUUCCUAUGAAUGUUUCACGAUUACUCACAAGUGAAAAAGAAUACAAGAAAGGGUAACCAUCCAAAUUAAUCGAAGAAUUAAAAUUGGAAAUGACAAGAAGAAAUAAUUCGAGAGAUUAAAUAUCACCAAAAGGGUAUAAAAGCGAGAGAGAAAGUCGUGUUGGCAUCCAAGGCAAAUGACGAGAACCUAAAUAAGUAAGGCGGAAAACGGAGCCUGGAUUGACGGAAGCAGAAGCGGGAUUUAAUGGAAGCGGUGGCAAAUAAGUGCAAGAGAAGAGUUUUCUUUUUUGAAAAAGAAAGGAGGCUGAAGGGAGGGGGAGACAAAGGAUCGCCGAGAACCAAAGAUGAGGAAUGUUUUUGAAGACGGAGGGAAAGGAAGAAUGGGCGCGGGUUGGUCCAGUGGCGCGCGACAACGAAAAUAAAACAGCCGGAUGUGUACGUGCUCGGCCGAGCGAUGCCACGGGCCGUCGUCGUUUGGUACUUCCGGUUUUCCAAGGCUUCUCUCCACUCUCACCGGACUAAUUUUCCGGCUGCUCGCUGUUCUGACUAUUUUCACGACGAACGGGCUUUAGAGUGUAAUAUUCUCGCUUAAAAAUCUCCCUACGUUCAAGGAUAAUUGCCUGGAAGACUACUCGGUGGAUAUUCCGUUGGCUGGGUUGCCUUUGAAAUUUUCUUUCUGUCCUAAUAAAUUGAAGAUUCAUUAGCACUGACCACGGUGAAUUAACCUUUCCCGACAAAGAGAUAAUAUUUGUUGCGUUCGAUAAUCGAAUGAUUGCUUACUGCAGGGGUUGUAUCUAAACUCUUCUUAAGGAAAUAAUUUGUUCAUCCUCAAUAUAUUAGUUUUUUAUGUUUAUUGACCUUUUAUAUGUAUGAUACAAUUUAUAAAUAUUUUAUUAUAUUUCUUCUUUGAAUAUUUUAAAGUGAUAUUAAUCAACGUAAAUGGAGUUUCAUGUUAUGAGAAAAUUUAAGAGAUUAAGAUACAAUUUCCUUAAAAACGUUGCAAGUGUAACUAGCUUCGUUAAACGAAGAUAAAUAAAUAAAAUUGAA
This is a long non-coding RNA of Hylaeus volcanicus, 4693 nucleotides long. RefSeq lists it as uncharacterized. Lineage: Eukaryota; Metazoa; Arthropoda; Insecta; Hymenoptera; Colletidae. The record is from RefSeq and is a predicted model, not a curated record. The transcript has 3 exons.